RNAcentral lists this ribosomal RNA (465 nucleotides) under uncultured bacterium. RNAcentral describes it as "partial 16S ribosomal RNA". It matches the Rfam family "Bacterial small subunit ribosomal RNA", at positions 338 to 795 of the family's 1533-position model. The record is from RNAcentral.
CCUACGGGUGGCAGCAGUAGGGAAUCUUCCACAAUGGGCGAAAGCCUGAUGGAGCAACGCCGCGUGGGUGAAGAAGGUCUUCGGAUCGUAAAACCCUUUUGUUAGAGAAGAAAGUGCGGGAGAGUAACUGUUCACGUUUCGACGGUAUCUAACCAGAAAGCCACGGCUAACUACGUGCCAGCAGCCGCGGUAAUACGUAGGGGGCAAGCGUUAUUCGGAUUUAUUGGGCGUAAAGGGCACGCAGGCGGUCUGUUAAGUCUGAUGUGAAAGCCUUCGGCUUAACCUGAGAAGUGCAUCUGAGACUGGGAGACUUGAGUGCAGAAGAGGAGAGUGGAACUCGAGGUGUAGCGGUGAAAUGCGUAGAUAUGUGGAAGAACACCAGUGGCGAAGGCGGCCCUCUGGUCUGUAACUGACGCUGAGGUGCGAAAGCGUGGGGAGCAAACAGGAUUAGAUACCCCGGUAGUC